CCCUUGUUAAUGUGUUUCUUCUUUUUAGUUCAUUUGCAGGUAAAGUUAACAUCAAAACAUAUAUAAAGGUGUAAAUGCAUUGCCAAGGAGCGAGUGAUGCACGAGCACAAAUUUAAAACACUUCACAUGCUAGAUAGCAUAAGCCGAAAGUCAUCACAUUCUCUAAGUCAUUGAACUUCAUACUAAUGCAUUGAUGAUUGUUAAACGUGCUUAAUUCGCCGUUUCAGAAUCUAAUGCAUCCUGGUUAAUAUUUUCAAAAGCGUACACCAAAGCGUUUUGAUUAGUUUAAAACGUUAUAAACAAUGGAAAUUCAACCAAUGACGUAACGUUAUUUUGACUUUGGGGUACGAACAAUGAAAUUACCCAUGAUGCUUUAGAUUCUGAAACGGCCAAU
This 394-nucleotide long non-coding RNA is filed under the name Mytilus galloprovincialis (Mediterranean mussel). The record is from RNAcentral. Lineage: Eukaryota; Metazoa; Mollusca; Bivalvia; Mytilida; Mytilidae.